This 253-nucleotide ribosomal RNA is filed under the name uncultured bacterium. Its description in RNAcentral is "partial 16S ribosomal RNA". It matches the Rfam family "Bacterial small subunit ribosomal RNA", at positions 524 to 776 of the family's 1533-position model. The record is from RNAcentral.
UACGUAGGUGGCAAGCGUUAUCCGGAAUUAUUGGGCGUAAAGCGCGCGCAGGUGGUUUCUUAAGUCUGAUGUGAAAGCCCACGGCUCAACCGUGGAGGGUCAUUGGAAACUGGGAAACUUGAGUGCAGAAGAGGAAAGUGGAAUUCCACGUGUAGCGGUGAAAUGCGUAGAGAUGUGGAGGAACACCAGUGGCGAAGGCGACUUUCUGGGCUGCAACUGACACUGAGGCGCGAAAGCGUGGGGAGCAAACAGG